GAUCAACGCUGGCGGCGUGCCUAAUGCAUGCAAGUCGAACGGGGCGCCUUCGGGCGCUCACGUGGCGGACGGGUGCGUAACACGUGGGCAAUCUGCCCCGGGGCGGGGGAUAGCCAUCGGAAACGGUCGGUAAUUCCGCGUACGCUCGGUUGCCUGUGGGGCGACCGAGGAAAGGCGCAAGCCACCCUGGGAGGAGCCUGCGGCCGAUUAGCUGGUUGGUGGGGUAACGGCCUACCAAGGAGAUGAUCGGUAGCUGGUCUGAGAGGACGGCCAGCCACGCGGGGACUGAGCGACGGCCCCGACUCAUACGGGAGGCAGCAGUGGGGAAUAUUGCACAAGGGGCGCAAGCCUGAUGCAGCGACGCCGCGUGAGGGAUGAGGGCCUUCGGGUUGUAAACCUCUUUCAGCACCGACGAAGCGCAAGUGACGGUAGGUGCAGAAGAAGGACCGGCCAACUACGUGCCAGCCGCCGCCGUAA
Molecule: ribosomal RNA, 477 nt
Filed under: uncultured bacterium
Lineage: Bacteria
Description: partial 16S ribosomal RNA
Rfam family: Bacterial small subunit ribosomal RNA
Source: RNAcentral